Oreochromis niloticus (Nile tilapia) is the source of this 1725-nucleotide long non-coding RNA. RefSeq lists it as uncharacterized. The transcript is spliced from 9 exons. Lineage: Eukaryota; Metazoa; Chordata; Actinopteri; Cichliformes; Cichlidae. The record is from RefSeq and is a predicted model, not a curated record.
CGUAGUUUCCAGAGUUUACUUAUAAAGCUCACUUACAGAAUUCAGUUAGAAAAGUCAAGCAUUUGAAGGGCGCACAUUCGAAGGAAUAUUAACUCAAUAUUAACUCAUUACGGUUUACAUUUUCGAGUUUAAAAGUUCUCCGAAAUUACAAUGAAAAAGGAAACAAGAAAAAUUACCACUCCAGCCGAUAAGAAAGAUUCAGGAGAUCAAGAUUGUAAGAGCAGGACUGCUAAAAGAAAGGCCAGUCCUGAAAAGAAGACCCAAUAAAAAGGAGGAGGGUCGCUGAGCAGGCUGGUCCUUCCACCAGCUCAGAUGUGGUCAAAGGAGUGAAGCGCAAGGUUGUGCAAGAUGAAGAGGGCACAACAAAGAAAGCAAAGAAGGCUAAACUUCUCCACCAUAUGAGCGGUGACAAGGAGCAAGCAUCCUCCUUGUUGGACUCUGGUAAAGACUUGAAUAACAAACAGGUGUGCGCAAAAAAUGGCAAAAGAAGGCCGCGGGAGACAACAGAGAGUCACCCAAGAAAAAAAAAGGAAUGUGGACCAGGACAAAAAAUCAGUGGCAGACCAAAAACGUGAAUUCCAAGCCAGAUAUGCGGAGGAGCACCAGCUCGGAGAAGGAGGCUGCGGAGCAGUGUUUGCUGGCUACCGGAUAGAAGAUCGUUUUCCAGUUGCCAUCAAACACAUUCCCAAAAUAAAGUCUACUGCAAAGUGGCGGAUGAAAGCGGGAAGAAGCUCUCAGUGGAAGUGGCCAUUAUGGUUAAACUUGCAGGUGAAGCAGAAGGGUCAGUGGGAAUAUCUGCACCUGUGUCCUUGCUGGAGUGGUUCGACCUUGGCAAAGAGCUGAUCCUGGUGCUGGAGAGACCUGUCCCGCUGUGGACCUGCAAAAAUACAAAGCAGAAAAUGGAAGAACUUUAACAGAGGACAAGGCCAAGGUCAUUCUGAAGCAACUAGUUGAUGCUGUAAAGGAACUUGAGGAUAAACACAUCUUUCAUCGGGACAUCAAGGGACAAAACAUUCUGAUUGAGACCGGCUCAGAUGUGCCUCGUGUUCGCAUCAUUGACUUUGGACUGAGCUGCUUUGUUAAACAGCGAUCUCUGUAUCGCAUCUUCUAUGGCACUCCUCUUCACAUCCCUCCCGAGUGGUACAUUAGGAGCUGCUACAGGUGUGGACCCACCACGGUGUGGCAAAUGGGAGUGGUGUUGUAUGAAGCGCUUCAUGCACAAUACUUUAGUACCGCGAGGUUCCUCACAAAGAAACUGAGCAUCAAAAAGCGUCUGUCCACAGAAUGCCGCAAUUUCUUGGACGCAUGUUUAGCUAUAGUCCCGGAGAAGCGCCCAACACUGGAGGAGCUCCAGCUUCACCCCUGGCUAAGAUAACACACACAAACACACAAUUCACACCUUAUCAUAUAAGUAUGAUACAUUGUAGUAACUUUCUUUCUUUUUUCUGUUGGACAGGAAUAGAUAGAAUGGGUCAAUCUUAAAAAAUAAAUAAAUAAAAAUUUAGCUUUUUUGGAGUUCCUGUAACCCCCCCAGCCAUCCCAGGAAAGGGGAUCUCUCUUUGAAUGGGCUUUCCCGAGGUUUCUUCCCAUCGAUCUGGCCCCUGGGGAGUUUUUCCUCGUCUUCAUAGAGAGCUUGGGCUGGGUCAGGAGCUCCAUCAAAACUGUCUUUAUUUGAUGACUUUAAAAUAAAGAUGUGUUUUACUUAAAUAAAACUUGUUUAAUUCA